CACGUAGGAGGCGAGCGUUGUCCGGAAUCAUUGGGCGUAAAGAGCGCGCAGGCGGCUUGGCAAGUCGGGUGUGAAAUCCCGGGGCUCAACCCCGUGACUGCAUCCGAUACUGUCAGGCUAGAGGUAGGUAGGGGAGAUCGGAAUUCCUGGUGUAGCGGUGAAAUGCGCAGAUAUCAGGAGGAACACCGGUGGCGAAGGCGGAUCUCUGGGCCUUACCUGACGCUCAGGCGCGAAAGCUGGGGGAGCGAACAGG
This 253-nucleotide ribosomal RNA is filed under the name uncultured bacterium. Its description in RNAcentral is "partial 16S ribosomal RNA". It matches the Rfam family "Bacterial small subunit ribosomal RNA", at positions 524 to 776 of the family's 1533-position model. The record is from RNAcentral.